Molecule: long non-coding RNA, 1485 nt
Filed under: Bos grunniens (domestic yak)
Lineage: Eukaryota; Metazoa; Chordata; Mammalia; Artiodactyla; Bovidae
Description: lncRNA (ENSBGRG00000020205.1)
Source: RNAcentral
UUUUAUUUAUUUGUUUAGGAGAGUGUGCCCAAGUUUAUUUUUCUGUAGUGGUGUUAAAUUUUUAAAGUAUUUAUUGAAUUUGUUACAAUAUUUUUCUGUUUUCUGUUUUGUGUUUUUUUGGGCCAUGAGGCAUGUGGGAUCUUAGCUCCCCAACCAAGUACUGGACCAGCACUCCCUACAUAGGAAGGCAAAGUCUUAACCACUGAACCGCCAGGGAAGUUCCUAUUUUAUCUGAGUAAAGUUGAUUUACAGUGUUUUGUUAGUUUAAGGUGUACAGCAAAGUGAUGCAGUUAAGUGUUAGUUGCUCAGUCGUGUCUGACUUUAACCCUGUGGACUGGAGCCUGCCAGGCUCCUCUGUCCAUGGAAUUCUCCAGGCAAGAAUACUGGAGUGGGUUGCCAUGCUCUCUUCCAGGGGAUCUUCCCGACCAGGGAUCAGAUCUGCUUCUCUGCAUUGCAGAAUCUUUACCGACUGAGCCACCACAUACAUUAUUUUUUAGAUUCUUUUCUCAUAUAGGCUAUCACAGAAUAUUGAGUAGAGUUCCCUGUGCUAUCCAGUAGGUCCUGUUAGUUAUCUAUCUUAUAUAUAUAGCAGUGUGUGUUUUCAUCCCAAGCUUCUGAUUUAUCCCUCUUAAGCAUCUUAUUUAAAGUGAGCCUGUUUGCCUCUCCUCAUCUUAAUCUAUGCCAUUUAAUUAUCCUCUAUGUUCUCUGUAGAACUAGCUCAAAUCAUCUUGUUUAUUUAUUUACUUGUUAUUUUAUUAUCUCCCCCAUUAGAAGGAGAUCUGACACCCUAUUUAUUUUUAUACUGUGAAUUCUGAGUGCCCAGCAUAGGGCUUACACAUAAGAUGGGCUUAAUAAUGGUUUCUUAAAUUAGUGCCUAUGAGAUUUUUUUUUUUUUUUUUUUUGAUUGCCUGUCUUUCAGAAGGAGAUCAGUUAGACUCUCUAAAGGAAGCUGCAGUGUUGUGGCCAAGCCUUGUCAUGGGGUCAGAAGAUGAGGGUCAAAUUCUAAAUUCUCCACUUGAAAAUCAGCUGACUUUGGCCCAAGGGCUCGCCCCACUGCUCCACUUUUCGAGCAUCCUUCUCCAGGAACCCGAACACACGCCGCCGCCCGCUCGGGGAGGCGCUCCCGGCAGGCAGCGGAGGAGUAGGAAUUCUCGAGGACGACCGGGGCAGCCGGAGCAGCGGGCCGGGGAAGCGCCCGCCAGUCCCCGGUUCUCCAGCCUCCGCGCGCCCGCAGGCGCCUCUGGGAGGCGCUGGUUUCCCGGCGCGGCGGCUGCAGGUGGUGCGGCCCAGGCCGGGGUCUGGAUCCCGGGGCACCGAAGGGCCGCGGACUCUCUCGGGGCAGCCCCGCGCUCCGCCCGCUGGGGCCCGGCCGAGGCGCCCCGGGGUCCCUUCGCCGCCCGCACCCCCAGCGCCGCGCCGGCGCCUCUGCCGGUGGCCGGGGGUUAUGAAUGGGCGCAGCGGAAGCACCGCCCACCCCGGACGUGA